AAUAGGUGAAGUUUGUUGUAGUUCCAUCUCCUUACAGUUAUUACUUGCCUGUAGUAUUUUGGCACUGUGCUUUUUUACUCUGGUGAAACAUAAUCUGCAUUUUCAGAAUAUACAUCCAUACCCCUCCACAUGCUGGUGAGCAUCAAUAUUUUGUUUGUUUGUGAGAGUUUCUGGUUUUGCUUCUCCCUUGACACCCCACUUCUUUUGAUGAGGUCUCUCCCCUUACUCUCUUUUUCUUAUCCCAUGCACCUUUUGGACCCUUGUCUGUUUAUCCAUCUUGUUUCUGUUAACCUGCACCUGCUCCCUCUGUGUUCAUUUGGGGGAGUUCACUACUGCAGGGCUUCCACUCCCUGCCCUUUAUUGGCUUUAUCUCUUGCCUCAGACUGCAAUGGAGUUGUUUCACCUUAGGAUACCCCUGUGCUUGUCAGCCUGUGCUGCAGCAGGAACACAUGGUUCUGGGUCUGUUUUAAAUUUGAAGACAACCUUUUAACUUUCUUUUCUUCCACUGUUUCUUUGCAAUGAGUUGGCUAACAGUCCUUACUCCAUCAGAAUCACGCAAGUGCUUCGUUCUGUCUUGACUGGGACACUCAAAUACAGUUUUCAGGGAACUGUGUUGUUUUUCCACGCUCUAGGACUGGGUGACGCUGCUGAUGGCCUUUGGGAGCACUCUGGGACACAGCUACUCAAGCAGCAGCUUAAGCAAAGAUGAGAGGAUCUGGAUCAUGGCUUUCAGGAGUUGUGGGGGACACUUCUGCCACCUCCAUCUGCAGCAUGGUCCUGUCUGUGGAAAGAAAGGGAGCACCUGGAGCUGUUGCAGUGGUCUCAGAUCUACAGGUACUGCUUGCUGCCUGUCCAGAGGGAAAAAUGUGUAAGAACUGGAGUUUAACGACAUUUUAUUAACUCUUUUCCAUGGCUGGGGCCUCUCACAAGCCACGUGAAGAGUCCUGGACCAAAGCUUUAGUUGCGCUGUCGCUUUAAUCUGGAACAUGCGGCAGCACUGCUGAGUCACCCCUCCUUUCUCUACCCUCAUUUACUUACUCCUGCCCCUCCCUUAUGCUGGAACAAGCAUUGCUCUAGUUCUUUAGAAAACUGAUCUGCUUUAAAAAUGACACAUUUUCUUUAGCUGUGUUUACUGCAUCAGCACCAGCGCUUGUGCCAGUGCAACCCGAGUGCCUUUUGGAUGGCACUGCUGUUUGCUCCUGCCUGUGGGGUCACACUGCGGUUCUGCUCCUCACAAACACAGGGUUCAGCUCUGAAUCCCGGAAAGUAAAAGGUGGAAAUUCUUCAGACACAGUUUUGUAUCACUGAGGAGGCUGAUGUCCGUAAUUUUGCUGGUCCUGUGUCCACAAGGUGCCAACAGCACUGCUUGUAGUAACGUUACAAUAGGAAGUCUGUACGUGGCUGUCUGAAAACUGCAGAUUCAUUCUGGCUUUCUGCUUACUGCUGCACGCAAAGCUGUCUGUGUGGAACAGGGCCAGAAGACUUUGUGCUACAAAAUAUACAAAUAUAAGUACCUACCAGCUGUUCCACCCUUAUCUUCAACAAUGCCUUCCAUACAGGGCUGAAGAAUAUGCUCAUGCAAAUAAACGAUAGAUCUCACGAUCCAUUUAGGCAACUCUGUGCCAUCCCAGCUCCCAGAGGAUGCUACAGUGCCUGUGCUGGGGCUGUAUCCUGGCUUUUUACGUGGUUUGCGUGGCGUUUGCAGGGAGCCCUGCUGCCCACUUACCCUUAAUCAGUUACCUACCACAGAUUAUCCCCUCCACACGCCCUAGGAAGAAUGAGACCCAAUAUUUUUAGUUCCAAUCACUCCAUCUCCCACACAAGGAUAAUCAGAGAUGUGCUGAUGUCAGCUCUGAUGGCAGCAAAUGCAGCACCAGACCCCGAGGUCGCUGCUCUUGGGCCAAAGCAGCUAUUCCAGUUCAGUACCGUCAGGAAUUGCAGGGAACAGAGUCAGUAUUUGCCCACUUGAAAAAGGUUCUGGAGGAGACUUGACAAUGUUUUUCACAGGGUAAGAAAGUGAGAUAAAGUCUUAAGUGAACAGUUUCCAUUGUGUACUACAGGAGUAUUUUUAGACGUGAAAGGUACCUGCAAGAAGAAAUUUUUCACACAUUUAGUUCAAACUUAAAGUUCCUGUAGGAAAGGGGAAUAGUUCUAAAGAAAGAGUUUUUCAUUACUAUUAAACACCUCAAAUUUUAUAAGCAAACUGAAAACUAUUCAUCUUUUACCUCAAUGUUUAUAUAUGGAAAAAUAAUGGAUCCAUUUACUGCAUUAUUCCAUUGCAGUAUUCAGGCUAGAAACACAAUACAAAAGUCCUGCCUGCAUUAACUUCAUUAGCAUAAGCCAACUUUAAAGUCCGGGGAAAACAGGACUGCCUCUAAUAUUUUACACUAAUUAAAAUGCACGUACAUUUACACAUGUGAAAGAACUUGGCACGAACUGCUAAAACCAAACUGAUGUUGUAGGGUUUAAUUUCUUGCAUCUACAAGAAUCUACAGUUAUAAAAGUCUCAUCUUCAAACUUUACAGUACAUUUACAUUAGCAAAUACCCCGCAGCUCUCCUCACUCCUCCCCUUCUGUACAGAUCAUAUACAAUAAAAAGUUCCGGGUUUUUGUUGUACAAACAUCAUUUUACACUUUAAUACAGAUGAAAAUAUUGUCCUCUGGCACCUCAUUUCCUCCGUGGUGCCUGUGUAUGACAGUACAGAUCACUUUCAAUCCAUGCUUCUGAAAUCCUCAGCUCAAGUAACACGGACUGAUCAACAGGCCACAGCUUCUGCAACUCCGAAGUUUUAAAUAAUGAGAAAAAUCUCCCACUUGUUUGUAUAACAAUCAACAGUUUAUUAAUGGAUAUGGUGAAAUUUUAGCUAUCCACCAAAGAUGUGUAAAAAAUUGUCAUGAAAGUAAAAAUAAAUAAAGCUGUUUUUAAAUCA
This is a long non-coding RNA of Myiozetetes cayanensis, 2930 nucleotides long. RefSeq lists it as uncharacterized. The record is from RefSeq and is a predicted model, not a curated record. NCBI's taxonomy places the organism in Eukaryota, Metazoa, Chordata, Aves, Passeriformes, Tyrannidae. The transcript is spliced from 2 exons.